Molecule: ribosomal RNA, 435 nt
Filed under: Triticum aestivum (bread wheat)
Lineage: Eukaryota; Viridiplantae; Streptophyta; Magnoliopsida; Poales; Poaceae
Description: partial small subunit ribosomal RNA
Source: RNAcentral
AUGAGGCAGUAUUGGUGGGGUGUGGAAAAUGGUAAGAGGAAGAUGGCUUGGCUCAGCUGGGAGAAUAUGAUGCUACCCAAAGCUAUGGGGGGCAUGGGGUUUAGAGACAUGUGAGCUUUCAACCAGGCUCUGUUGGCCAAGCAAGCCUAGUGACUACUGGAUUGUCUAGACAACCUUUGUGCCCGCUUACUAAGGGCUAAAUAUUACCCACAUGGGAACUUAUUGGACACUGUUUUCUCCACAAAUUCUUCAGCAGUUUGUAAAGGGAUUGUCCAUGGACUAGAGCUUCUGAAAAAAGGCAUUAUAUGGCGUGUCGGAGAUGGCACCUUAAUCAAGACAUGGAGAGAUGCUUGGAUCCCGCGAGGGCAUAACUUUCGGCCGGUCACACCAAAGACAAACUGUCGAUUCAAUUGGGUGGCUGACUUUUCAAGUUAA